Molecule: ribosomal RNA, 253 nt
Filed under: uncultured bacterium
Lineage: Bacteria
Description: partial 16S ribosomal RNA
Rfam family: Bacterial small subunit ribosomal RNA
Source: RNAcentral
UACGUAGGGUGCGAGCGUUGUCCGGAAUUAUUGGGCGUAAAGAGCUUGUAGGCGGUUUGUCGCGUCUGCUGUGAAAAUCCGGGGCUCAACCCCGGACUUGCAGUGGGUACGGGCAGACUAGAGUGUGGUAGGGGAGACUGGAAUUCCUGGUGUAGCGGUGAAAUGCGCAGAUAUCAGGAGGAACCCCGAUGGCGAAGGCGGCAUCCUGGACCGACAUUGACGCUGAGGAGCGAAAGCUAGGGGAGCAAACGGG